CCUACGGGAGGCAGCAGUGGGGGAUAUUGCACAAUGGGGGAAACCCUGAUGCAGCGACGCCGCGUGGGUGAAGAAGGGCCUCGGCGCGUAAAGCCCUGUCAGCAGGGAAGAAAAUGACGGUACCUGAAGAAGAAGCCCCGGCUAACUACGUGCCAGCAGCCGCGGUAAUACGUAGGGGGCAAGCGUUAUCCGGAUUUACUGGGUGUAAAGGGGGCGCAGACGGCGAUGCAAGCCAGGAGUGAAAGCCCGGGGCCCAACCCCGGGACUGCUCUUGGAACUGGGUGGCUAGAGUGCAGGAGAGGCAGGCGGAAUUCCUGGUGUAGCGGUGAAAUGCGUAGAUAUCAGGAGGAACACCGGUGGCGAAGGCGGCCUGCUGGACUGCAACUGACGUUGAGGCCCGAAAGCGUGGGGAGCAAACAGGAUUAGAUACCCGAGUAGUC
Molecule: ribosomal RNA, 440 nt
Filed under: uncultured bacterium
Lineage: Bacteria
Description: partial 16S ribosomal RNA
Rfam family: Bacterial small subunit ribosomal RNA
Source: RNAcentral